UGCAAGUCGAGCGGUAGCACAGAGAGCUUGCUCUCGGGUGACGAGCGGCGGACGGGUGAGUAAUGUCUGGGAAACUGCCUGAUGGAGGGGGAUAACUACUGGAAACGGUAGCUAAUACCGCAUAACGUCGCAAGACCAAAGUGGGGGACCUUCGGGCCUCAUGCCAUCAGAUGUGCCCAGAUGGGAUUAGCUAGUAGGUGGGGUAAUGGCUCACCUAGGCGACGAUCCCUAGCUGGUCUGAGAGGAUGACCAGCCACACUGGAACUGAGACACGGUCCAGACUCCUACGGGAGGCAGCAGUGGGGAAUAUUGCACAAUGGGCGCAAGCCUGAUGCAGCCAUGCCGCGUGUAUGAAGAAGGCCUUCGGGUUGUAAAGUACUUUCAGCGAGGAGGAAGGCGUUAAGGUUAAUAACCUUGGUGAUUGACGUUACUCGCAGAAGAAGCACCGGCUAACUCCGUGCCAGCAGCCGCGGUAAUACGGAGGGUGCAAGCGUUAAUCGGAAUUACUGGGCGUAAAGCGCACGCAGGCGGUCUGUCAAGUCGGAUGUGAAAUCCCCGGGCUCAACCUGGGAACUGCAUUCGAAACUGGCAGGCUAGAGUCUUGUAAAGGGGG
RNAcentral lists this ribosomal RNA (613 nucleotides) under Enterobacter sp. OPC1. RNAcentral describes it as "bacterial SSU rRNA". It matches the Rfam family "Bacterial small subunit ribosomal RNA", at positions 56 to 660 of the family's 1533-position model. The record is from RNAcentral. Lineage: Bacteria; Pseudomonadati; Pseudomonadota; Gammaproteobacteria; Enterobacterales; Enterobacteriaceae.